UACCAGCACCCCGAGUGGUCGGGACGAUUAUUGGGCCUAAGGCAUCCGUAGCCGGUUCUACAAGUCUUCCGUUAAAUCCACCUGCUCAACAGUUGGGCUGCGGAGGAUACUAUAGAGCUAGGAGGCGGGAGAGGCAAGCGGUACUUAGUGGGUAGGGGUAAAAUCCGUUGAUCCAUUGAAGACCACCAGUGGCGAAGGCGGCUUGCCAGAAUGCGCUCGACGGUGAGGGAUGAAAGCUGGGGGAGCAAACCGG
This 253-nucleotide ribosomal RNA is filed under the name uncultured bacterium. RNAcentral's name for it is "partial 16S ribosomal RNA". It matches the Rfam family "Archaeal small subunit ribosomal RNA", at positions 474 to 727 of the family's 1478-position model. The record is from RNAcentral.